CAAGCAGCGAGCAUGUGGUUUAAUUCGAAGCAACGCGAAGAACCUUACCAGGGCUUGACAUCCCUCUGACAGUCCCUUAACCGGGACCUUCUUCGGACAGAGGAGACAGGUGGUGCAUGGUUGUCGUCAGCUCGUGUCGUGAGAUGUUGGGUUAAGUCCCGCAACGAGCGCAACCCUUGUCUUUAGUUGCCAUCAUUCAGUUGGGCACUCUAGAGAGACUGCCGAGGACAACUCGGAGGAAGGUGGGGAUGACGUCAAAUCAUCAUGCCCCUUAUGUCCUGGGCUACACACGUGCUACAAUGGCUGGUACAAAGAGACGCAAGACCGCGAGGUGGAGCAAAUCUCAAAAACCAGUCCCAGUUCGGAUUGCAGGCUGCAACUCGCCUGCAUGAAGUCGGAGUUGCUAGUAAUCGCAGAUCAGAAUGCUGCGGUGAAUGCGUUCCCGGGUCUU
Molecule: ribosomal RNA, 451 nt
Filed under: uncultured Eubacteriales bacterium
Lineage: Bacteria; Bacillati; Bacillota; Clostridia; Eubacteriales
Description: bacterial SSU rRNA
Rfam family: Bacterial small subunit ribosomal RNA
Source: RNAcentral